This 7347-nucleotide long non-coding RNA is filed under the name Lathyrus oleraceus (garden pea). RNAcentral describes it as "Pisum sativum (pea) long non-coding RNA (PSAT_LNC030940)". Lineage: Eukaryota; Viridiplantae; Streptophyta; Magnoliopsida; Fabales; Fabaceae. The record is from RNAcentral.
GAUUGUUGGCUGAGCCUUAGAGGCCAAUUAUUUUUGGUACUUGUAUCGAAUUAUUUAUUAAUAAUAAAAGGCUUUUUCUUUAUUACGUUUGUUUAAUAAAGUCCCUAGAAUAGCUAGUCUGUUUAAUGUAUCAAGUAUGACUUAAUACAUGAGAUCACAUUAAACAUAAGGACUAUUUCUUAAAGUAUCCGUAGUCGAGCUUUAGUGUGAAGUGGGAUAACAUUGAAGCAUUAAGACUAUUAUGUUUGUAGACUGGAUGAUCACAUCUUCAUGGAUCAUGGAUAAGAGUUAUCAAGUCUCUUAAACAUAGGUAUGAAUAUUAAGAGUAAUAUUUGUACCGGAUUGACCCGCUAUGAGAAUACUAUAUAGAAAGUUAUGCAAGGUGUCAUAAGUUAUUUCUCAUGGUGAUAAUAGUGUAUUCCACUCUUCGACCUGAAACCACUAUGGAUCCUAGAUGUAGAGUCGAGUGCUUUAUUGCUUGAUCAACGUUGUCCGUAACUAGAUAACCAUAAAGACAGUUAAUGGUACUUCUCACAAAGCCAUGCUUGAGGACAUGAGGUGUCCUAGAUGGAAUUUGUCCAUCCUGCGUACAGGAUAAACAAUGUCUAUGGGCCAAAUUAUUGAAACGAGCUGAACAAGGAUGACACGGUUAUUGGUCUAAUGCUAUUGUGUUCAAAUUUUUGGAGUUUUGAUAUAGGAAACUAAUUGGAGGUGUUUAAUUGUCAAGAAGGAUGUAGAGAAUGUAUGGGGGAUUUUAGUUAUCAAACAAUAAAUAUAUGAUUUACAUCAGUCGCAGUUAAGACAAAGGAUAGAGGGCAAAAGGGUAAACAAAUUAUAUCACAUAAUUUUAUCACUAGAAAGGUUUUUGUCAGAUCAAUUCGACAUAUUUUCGUUCUUGGGUAACAGCAUGAUGUGUUGCAACCUAAGGGCUUCAGGAUGGUCGGAGCAGAGGUGUGGUUUGUUUAAUCUAUAUUUAUACAUGUGCGGUCGAAUCUUUAAUAGUAUGAUUUUUGCCCAAGCGUCAACGAAAAACCUAGCAGGGUGGCCCAGACAACACACAGGAACGGAUUGAUGAAAAGAAGAUAAGAAGUAAACUAAUGGAAUACCAGUAAGGUACGGUGCCAAAAAAGAUAUUAAGAACAUCGUAAGGUACGGUGUCCUGAGUAGAAUACCGAAAUAUGGUAAAGGUACCAUGACACAAGGCCCCCAGGAGCACACUAGUAUAAAAAAAAAAAUUUUUUUUUGGGCAUGUAUAAGAUAUGGGGCCAAAAUAAACACUAAGUGGCUUUUUUUUUUUAGCUUGAAGCCCACUACAAGUGGUUGCUAUAAAUAGAACCCUUGUGCAGAAGUAUAAGAAAUUGCUGGUUGCAUUAUUUUCGUUUUCUAUCACUCUUCUUCUCUCUCACUCAAAGCCUUCACAUCGUACAGCUAGCACUGAGAUUGAAGGACCCGUCGUGUGGACUGAGUACAGACCGUUGUCAUCGUCAACGUUCGUGAUCUGCUUCGUGGAUUUGCAUCAAAGGUUGUGAAUCGCACAAGAGACUGCAAACAAAGGUUUCAACCGUCACAAGAGGUAAAUAUUCUAUCACUGAUCAUGACCAUUCGUAAGGAUCUCUAAAGGAGAAAAUUUUAAUUUCCGCUGCGCUUUGGGUCGCAAUUCUCCUUCACACUGUUGGAUGGGAAAGGAAUGAUAUUGCAUAUUGUCCUUUCGCCCAUAAAAUUAGUGACAAGUGUGAUAUAUAGUACUGUCCUUGCCCAUGAAUUUAGGUAGUGGAAAGGAUGUUCGUUUUGUACCAUGUACUAUUUGAUCACGUUCCCAUUUUGAUCUUAUCUUCAAAUUCAUUGGCUUAUGAUGAAAGUUGAUGAAGCAUGAAAUGAAUAAACAUAAACCUGGAUUUAGAAACUUCAGAAUCUUUGGUCAGAACCUUGAUAGCAUCAGUAGUCUGGCUUGAGAUCUUCAGUAUCUUUAGAGUCUUCAGAAUCCUCAGUCAGAACCUUGAUAACUUCAAUCGUCUGACUUGAGAUCUUCAGAAUCUUCAACUAUAUAACACAACUUCAUAAGCUUGUCAUUCUUCAGAAGUUUAAUGAUCAGAGUCACAUCCAGAAGCAUGAAUUGAGAGAAUAUUGCAGCAGCAACAUAAUGUCUCCUCAGAAGCUUCUGAUGAGUGAGACAACACAAAAGCAGAAAGAACAUUGCAGCAACAAUAUUUAUGUCUUUCAGAACUUCUAAUAGCCAACAUAGAAGCGGAUUUGGAACACAUAGUUCAGAAACUAAUGACGUUGCACAUCAUAUAUUCAGAAUCAGAACUGAUUGUUAAAGUUAAAUAAUAACAAACCAUUAGGGUACCAAAAUUGUUCUCACACAAAUACAAUAUUGUUAUCAUCAAAACUCAAGGUAUAGAUGUAGAACCAAAUCUUGUUCUAACAGAUGUCACCCUUCAUAUGUCUUGAGCAUCUACUAACGAGAACCUGUAUUCUCUUCAUAUAGCCAAGACAUUUAUCCUACAAGAUCGCCAAGAAAUGCUAGGUACCCAAUCUUCAUUGGGUCUUUGAGAGUUAGUGAAAGUAUGGUUGCAUUUGGGCAACCAUUGAAAAAAAAUUUAGGAACAAAGAGUCUCCUAAAUUUGCAUUUCUCAAUGGUGUGACCUCUCUUGCAACAAUAGUGACAAGAUAAAUUGUGAUGAGAUGUUCUUUUGCUAUUUGAAUCCUUUUGAAUAUAUCUAUACUUUUUAUGUGGAUGGUUCAAAGACCUUUUAAAUUUUGAGGGGUCAAUAGCAAAUAUAACAUUUGGUUGUAAUGCCUUGUCCAAUUUAGUUUUAAGAGUAUUAACCUCUUUUUGCCAAAUGUGACAAGUUUCACAACUGAAACAUGAAGGUUUUUCAUCCUCAUUCUUAUCCUUUUGAAUAUCUACCAUAGAUUGUUUAAGAGCUUCCAUUUUCUUUUUAGUUUCUAAAACUUUAGCUUCUGAGUGUGAAAAGAUUCUUUUGUUUAAAGCUAACUUUUUAAAAACGCACACGCCUUUUCUAUGUAGAUUUUCAAAAGCAUUUUAUAAUUGAGAAUAAGAUAUUAUAUUAAUAGAUUCGUGUUUAGAACGACUUACAUUCUUCUUCUUCUUUUGAUUGUCCAUGAAGCAAAUAUUUGUCGAUUCGUCACUACUACUUGAGCUUUCAUCACUUGAGGAUUCACUUUCCCUCUCCCAAGGAACGUAUGCUCUUAUGGACUUGCUAGACUUCUUGUAAUGGCCUUUCUCUUUGUCUGACUUAUAAUGACCGACUUUUCCACAACUGUAGCAUGAACCUCUAUGUUUACCCUUCUUAUUCUCACAUUCCUUUGAGGAGUUCGAUAGUCUUAUAAAGUUAAUUAGGUUCUUAUCAGAGUGCUUGACUCCAUUUUUCUCCAUGUACCUAUGGUACAUUUUGACGAACAACCUCAUUUCUUCAUCAUUAGAAUUCUCGUCAUUACUUGUUUCACAAUCACUUUGCUCAUUGGUUGAGGAUUUUAAACUUGAAGCCUUUAGAGAAAUAAACUUCUUUUUUACCUCUUUGUCCUUGUCUUUCUCCUUCUUUAUCUUCUUCUCGUUCUUUUUCUUAUGUUUUUCCAAGCAAAUGAGUUCUUACUCAUGUUCUUGUAGUUUGGGAAAUAAAGUUGUGAGGUCAAGUUUUCUAAGAUCAUUCGCUUCUUUGAUUGCGGUGACCUUAGGUUGUCAUUCCCUAUUAAGACACCUCAAAACUUUAUUAGUAGCAAUAUCAUUGGAAAUAUGCUUACCUAGAGCAUUCAAAUGAUUUAUAAGAUGUGUGAACCUCUUUUGCAUGUCAGCAAUGGUUUCACCAUGCUUCAUGCGAAAUAGUUCAAACUCUUUAGUUAAGGUAUUGAUCCUUGCUUGUUUGACUUCAUUAAUUCUCUCAUGGGUAACUUCUAAUGCAUCCCACAUAGCUUUGACAUUUUCAUAAUGGGAAACACGAUAAUAUUCAUCAACGCCAAGUGCGGGUAUGAGAAUAUUUUGUGCCCAAUCCAAAACUCUGUUCACUCAGACGGACGGACAUGUGUACGAUCACUCGGAGAUUCUGCAUUAAAGAUAGACACCACAAAUACCUCAACCAUUUGAAUCUAUUCAACUGGCUGUUAUAAUUAUCAUAUAUAUAUAUAUAAGUGUGACAUCAUGUCACAUUAAAGUACGAUUCAAUAUACUUUUACAAAUUAACACUACUUUGAUUUCACCGUCUUAUAAGUUUAAAUACUAACAUUGUAGAUACACAUUUUCCUAAUGACUCCAACCGCGACACUAAAAGUGUAAACUUCACCAUCACAUCAUUUUUUUUUCAAAAGAAAUAAAAGAGUUUUGAUUCCUACUUUGCAAUCCUUGCUCGAUGAAGUAACCAACCAAGGGAUUAAUGAUGACCCCACUUUAUCCCAAAGUCUCCAAUGUGGCAUGAUGUGAUUGAGUAACCAGCACAUCCACGAAAACGCAAUCCAAACCUAAUCUAUUCACAAGUAUUCAAUUUUUUCGUAGAAGUCAAUAAUAAUAAUAAUAAUAAUUGGAACACAAAAACUACCAUCACCACUAAGAUUCCUCACAUAUCUAUUCAGACCUCUUAGCAUUGCCAACACCGAAAUCACAUACUAGAAUGGCAACAACAACCUUUGCAACCGUCGUAGGAAUGGGUGGUGCAUCACGUCUCACCUCAGGUAUAUCUGUCAUUAAUUAAAACAUAAUUAAGCAUGUACCAUUUUUUUAUAUAUGUUUGUAUUUAUUUUAAUUGUGAUUUUCUUCCAGGAUUUGGGAAACCACAAGUAACUGCUAGGAAUCCUUUGAGGCAAGCUAUGGCGGUAGGAAAUGGUGGAAGAGUGACAUGGUAAUUUUUAUUAUAAGAUUGAUUUGUAAGGUUUUUAAACUGAAUUAUUUGAUCUCUAUGAAUAUUUAUUUUGAUGAUGAAAAAAAUGAAUUGUGAUAUUUUUUGUGGAUUGUGAUGUGAAGCUUCCAGAGGGAUUGGCUACGGAGGGAUUUCAAUGUGAUUGGGUUUGGGUUGAUAGGUUGGUUGGCACCGUCUAGCAUCCCGGCUAUUGACGGUAAAAGUCUGACUGGACUUUUCUUUGAUAGUAUUGGAACUGAACUUGCUCACUUCCCUACACCUCCAGCUCUUACUUCACAGUUUUGGUUAGUCAUUUCUUUCACAUAUUUUUGUAUUUAAUUCACUUGAUUCUCUGCUAUAUGCAAUCAUAGUUUCAAAUGAAAGUGGAAACAUAGAUGAGAAGUGAAGUAAUGAACAGGAAGGAAUUAGUUGGAGAUCUUCUAUACUUGUCCUUAGGUAUCCAACGGAUCAGGGACGGUUUUUAGUUCCCAUCCAAACCUGAAUUUCAAAAUAAUCUUCAACUCCCCAUUUUAUAAUUGAGAAAAACUCAAACUUUAACCUAAUUCAAUGAAAAUGGAUUUUUUUCAUAAAUUCGGGAUGGGACGGGAUAGGAUGGGUAUCCGGGAGAGUAUGAUUAUAUUGUCUUGCGUAUUAAAUCCUUAAAUCCAUUCAAAUUGAUUAGCUCAUGAGUCAUUUAGAAAAAUACUGAUAAAUAUAAAGCUUAAACCUUAUAAUAAAGAGCCCAAAUUUUAAAAGGUUAUUUCAGUCUGAUCUUAAAUAGCUCGUUAUCCAUUCAGGUCAGUAACAUGUAGCUAGCUCGUUUGAUUUGCAAACUAAAACUUAUAUUAUUAUUUAUGGCUGUUUCACAUUUCUUAAAAUUUUUAUUUUUUAAGAUAAUUAAGUUUUUCACAAAACUUCUUAAAUAAUUAUAUUUUUCUAUUAAUUUGAAGUAUUUAUUUUUUAAAUAAAAAAGAUUUACAACACAAAAUACAUAUUUAAUGACGACUACAUUAAAUAAAUAAAAAACAUAGUCAAUUGAAUUAACGGGUUAUUUGACGCAUUUGUACAAGAAAUAGGAAGGGUCGCCAAUUAAAUCAGUGACUAUGUGUUGAGUAUUUUUUUUAUUUUAAUCUAAUUAAUUAAUAAAUAAGUUUAAUAAAAACUAAUAAUAUUUAAAUUUAAAUCGAAUUAUACGAUAGUAUUGAGGAUAAAAUAUUUAAUGAAAAAACCAACUUAGCCAAUUUAAUAUACUAGGAACAUUUAGAAAAAUCAUCAAUGUCUUGGCUCAAUCAACUAGGUCACUCACUAAUAACUCCAUCAAUCCAAACAACAUAAUUCAACUAAUAACUCGUCAAUAGACACAAGACUACAUAAAAUUACAAGAAUUUAUUAGAUAAUUUGAUGAUAGGAUGUUCAGUGCAUAUUGAAAUGGUUAAGUUGCUUUUUCCAUUGAUUCGUCUUACCCUUAGUAAGUACACUCAAUAACAUGUAGAUGAUCUUUAAUGUUCUAGUACAUUCACCGAUUGGAAUAUAUAUUUAUAUGUUAAAUAUAUAUACAUUAAUAUUAUCAAAAUAAAUUUAAUUAUUUUAUGUUAGAAUUUAAAUUUUAAUGAAAAAAGUUAAUAAAGAGUUAGGUUCACAAUGAUAAAAAAAAAAUGAGUUCAAACUCUAUAAGUUCAUAUAUGCCAGCUUUAUAAGUCCGUCAUUAGCCUAAUAAAAAAGAAUCACAUCAUAGUUCAUUUCGUCUUUUUUUAUAGAUUUUUAAGUUUAGUUUGUUAAUAAAUAUUAAAAGGUGCUUAAUUUAAUUUUAAAUAAUUAAAUAGCAAGCAAGAUCUUUAAUGAUAAGGAUCAAAAAAAUUUAAAAGAAAAUUUUAAAAAAAAUAAAAAAAGUUAAAAAUUUUAGGUCCCACCGAGAAUUGAACUCGGGUUACUAGAUUCAGAGUCUAAUGUCCUAACCGCUAGACCAUGGGACCAGUUGAUGAUAGAGAGUUACGACGUGUUGUAUAUAAAUAUUCCGUAAAAUUAUAUUUUGUAUUUGAAUUUGAAUAUAUUUUUCGUUCUAAGACAUAAUAAAGCAAACAUGUUGAACAGGUUAUGGUUGAUCUGUUGGCACUUGGGGCUGUUCAUCUCCCUCACUUUCGGUCAAAUUGGUUUCAAGGGAAGGACUGAGGAGUACUUUGAUUCAUAAUAACUUAUGGUCUGUUAUUAAUUGCUUUUCCUUUUAUAUUAUUUUCUGCCUUGUAAUCUACCAUCUGUAACUCUGGUACCUUUUCCAUUGCACUAGAAAAAAUCGGUGUAAUAUCGCUUUCAUAAUGAAUCAAUGUAUAUUAGUAUUAUGGUUGUAUCUUGUGUGUAUUAGUUGCUUAUCAACGUCCCAAUUUUAGUUUUGCAAUUUUCCUAAAGGAUAAUCAUGAUUAUUAAGCCGGAAUAACUUUUUUUUUAAUGAAAUCUUAUCUAUUUAAUAUUUUACAAAACAAUAACAUUUCGUAAUUUAUAA